RNAcentral lists this ribosomal RNA (527 nucleotides) under uncultured archaeon WCHA1-57. RNAcentral describes it as "bacterial SSU rRNA". It matches the Rfam family "Archaeal small subunit ribosomal RNA", at positions 91 to 622 of the family's 1478-position model. Lineage: Archaea; Methanobacteriati; Methanobacteriota. The record is from RNAcentral.
CAGUACACGUAGGUAACCUACCCUUAGGACUGAGAUAACCCCGGGAAACUGGGGCUAAUACCAGAUAGAUAAAAGAUACUGGAAUGUUCUUUUAUCCAAAGCUUUUGUGCCUAAGGAUGGGCUUGCGUCCGAUUAGGUUGUUGGUGGGGUAAUGGCCCACCAAGCCUGCGAUCGGUACGGGCAGUGGGAGCUGUAGCCCGGAGUUGGGGACUGAGACAAGGCCCCAGGCCCUACGGGGCGCAGCAGGCGCGAAACCUCUGCAAUGCGGGAAACCGUGACAGGGGGAUCCCAAGUGCUCAUGCAUUGCAUGGGCUGUUCUUUGGUCUAAGUAACCAGAGGAGUAAGGGCUGGGCAAGACCGGUGCCAGCCGCCGCGGUAAUACCGGCAACUCGAGUGGUAGCCGCGAUUAUUGGGCCUAAAGCGUUCGUAGCCGGAUAAGUAAGUCUUUGGUUAAAUCCUGCGACUUAACCGUGGGAAAUCUAGAGAUACUGCUUGUCUUGAGACCGGGAGAGGUUGGAGGUACUCCU